ACUUUUUUAUUAUAAAUAUUAUAUUUGACUUCCAAUCAAAAGAUCUUGUAAAACAAGAAAAAGUA
Molecule: transfer RNA, 65 nt
Filed under: Oxycarenus lugubris
Lineage: Eukaryota; Metazoa; Arthropoda; Insecta; Hemiptera; Oxycarenidae
Also listed under: 1 other name
Description: tRNA-Gly
Source: RNAcentral